RNAcentral lists this non-coding RNA (164 nucleotides) under uncultured Barnesiella sp. Lineage: Bacteria; Pseudomonadati; Bacteroidota; Bacteroidia; Bacteroidales; Barnesiellaceae. The record is from RNAcentral.
AGCGUACAGGUUCGGCCGUAACAAAGCCGAUUAAAAGGGAACCGGGUGAAAAUCCCGGACAGUCCCGCUGCUGUAAGUUCCUUACAUAAAAUUAUGACAUCAUGUCACUGGUCAUCCCGGGAAGGCGUCAUAAUCCGGAACAAGUCAGAAGACCUGCCGUACGU